GCCGUUAGCUCAGUUGGUAGAGCAUCUGACUUUUAAUCAGAGGGUCGCUGGUUCGAACCC
Molecule: transfer RNA, 60 nt
Filed under: Listeria monocytogenes
Lineage: Bacteria; Bacillati; Bacillota; Bacilli; Caryophanales; Listeriaceae
Description: tRNA-Lys
Rfam family: tRNA
About the family: Transfer RNA (tRNA) molecules are approximately 80 nucleotides in length.
Source: RNAcentral